CAGACAGGAGGCUGCAGUGGGGAAUAUUGGACAAUGGGCGAAAGCCUGAUCCAGCCAUGCCGCGUGUGUGAAGAAGGCCUUCGGGUUGUAAAGCACUUUCAGUGGGGAAGAAAGCCUUGGGGCUAAUACCCUCGAGGAAGGACAUCACCCACAGAAGAAGCACCGGCUAACUCCGUGCCAGCAGCCGCGGUAAUACGGAGGGUGCGAGCGUUAAUCGGAAUUACUGGGCGCAAAGCGCGCGUAGGCGGUCUGAUAAGCCGGUUGUGAAAGCCCCGGGCUCAACCUGGGAACGGCAUCCGGAACUGUCAGGCUAGAGUGCAGGAGAGGAAGGUAGAAUUCCCGGUGUAGCGGUGAAAUGCGUAGAGAUCGGGAGGAAUACCAGUGGCGAAGGCGGCCUUCUGGACUGACACUGACGCUGAGGUGCGAAAGCGUGGGUAGCAAACAGGAUUAGAUACCCGAGUAGUC
Molecule: ribosomal RNA, 465 nt
Filed under: Vreelandella stevensii
Lineage: Bacteria; Pseudomonadati; Pseudomonadota; Gammaproteobacteria; Oceanospirillales; Halomonadaceae
Description: partial 16S ribosomal RNA
Rfam family: Bacterial small subunit ribosomal RNA
Source: RNAcentral